This 262-nucleotide unclassified non-coding RNA is filed under the name uncultured fungus. RNAcentral describes it as "partial contains small subunit ribosomal RNA, internal transcribed spacer 1, and 5.8S ribosomal RNA". The stretch from base 1 to 73 matches the Rfam family "Eukaryotic small subunit ribosomal RNA", at positions 1759 to 1831 of the family's 1831-position model. The record is from RNAcentral. Lineage: Eukaryota; Fungi.
UCAAACUUGGUCAUUUAGAGGAAGUAAAAGUCGUAACAAGGUUUCCGUAGGUGAACCUGCGGAAGGAUCAUUAUCAAAACAGCGGCCUUCGGGCCUCGCUGCACCCUUGUCUUUUGCGCACCGUAUUGUUUCCUCGGCGGGCUUGCCUGCCGGUUGGACAUCAUAAAACCUUUUUGUAGUUGCAAUCAGCGUCAGAAAAACAAUAAUUAUUACAACUUUCAACAACGGAUCUCUUGGUUCUAGCAUCGAUGAAGAACGCAGC